This 497-nucleotide ribosomal RNA is filed under the name uncultured bacterium. RNAcentral's name for it is "partial 16S ribosomal RNA". It matches the Rfam family "Bacterial small subunit ribosomal RNA", at positions 28 to 507 of the family's 1533-position model. The record is from RNAcentral.
GACGAACGCUGGCGGCGUGCCUAAUACAUGCAAGUUGAGCGCUGAAGGUUGGUACUUGUACCGACUGGAUGAGCAGCGAACGGGUGAGUAACGCGUGGGGAAUCUGCCUUUGAGCGGGGGACAACAUUUGGAAACGAAUGCUAAUACCGCAUAAAAACUUUAAACACAAGUUUUAAGUUUGAAAGAUGCAAUUGCAUCACUCAAAGAUGAUCCCGCGUUGUAUUAGCUAGUUGGUGAGGUAAAGGCUCACCAAGGCGAUGAUACAUAGCCGACCUGAGAGGGUGAUCAGCCACAUUGAGACUGAGACACGGCCCAAACUCCUACGGGAGGCAGCAGUAGGGAAUCGUCGGCAAUGGGCGAAAGUCUGACCGAGCAACGCCGCGGGAGUGAAGAAGGUUGUCGGGUCGGAAAACUCGGUUGGUAGAGAAGAACGUUGGUGAGAGUGGAAAGCUCAUCAAGUGACGGUAACUACCCAGAAAGCAACGGCUAACUACGUG